RNAcentral lists this transfer RNA (71 nucleotides) under Butyrivibrio sp. RNAcentral describes it as "tRNA-Gln". It matches the Rfam family "tRNA". From Rfam's summary of the family: Transfer RNA (tRNA) molecules are approximately 80 nucleotides in length. Their secondary structure includes four short double-helical elements and three loops (D, anti-codon, and T loops). Lineage: Bacteria; Bacillati; Bacillota; Clostridia; Lachnospirales; Lachnospiraceae. RNAcentral also lists the same sequence under 1 other name. The record is from RNAcentral.
AGCCUUGUAGUGUAAGGGUAUCACGUCUGAUUCUGACUCAGGAGAUGGAGGUUCGAUUCCUUCCGAGGCUG